This 335-nucleotide unclassified non-coding RNA is filed under the name soil metagenome. RNAcentral's name for it is "partial contains 5.8S ribosomal RNA, internal transcribed spacer 2, and large subunit ribosomal RNA". The stretch from base 1 to 120 matches the Rfam family "5.8S ribosomal RNA", at positions 35 to 154 of the family's 154-position model. The record is from RNAcentral.
GAUGAAGAACGCAGCGAAAUGCGAUAAGUAAUGUGAAUUGCAGAAUUCAGUGAAUCAUCGAAUCUUUGAACGCACAUUGCGCCCGCCAGUAUUCUGGCGGGCAUGCCUGUUCGAGCGUCAUUUCAACCAUCAAGCCCCCGGCUUGUGUUGGGGACCUGCGGCUGCCGCAGGCCCUGAAAAGCAGUGGCGGGCUCGCUGUCACACCGAGCGUAGUAGCAUACAUCUCGCUCUGGGCGUGCUGCGGGUUCCGGCCGUUAAACCACCUUCAUAACCCAAGGUUGACCUCGGAUCAGGUAGGAGACCCGCUGAACUUAAGCAUAUCAAUAAGCGGAGGA